GGAAGAAAACCUUGUCCCUCCUGCUGAGAAGGGCCUUCUCCUCUCCUGGGAAGGAUGUCCUCCUUACUCUGGCCUUUGGUGGGUGCAGCGUCUCCGCACACGGCACCCCCAGCCCAAGCAAGAGCAUCGGCCAAGCUGGUUCACACCAGGAACUGGGGUUUGAAGAGCCGGAAGCAAGGCCUCUGCAGGAAACACCCAGCAAGCAAGAGAAGCCAGACUACGCACAAGGGAAAGGAGUUUUGGUAAUGUAGUAAUGAGAGUGAACGAAAAAUCAAAAAGGAGAAACCAAGAUACAUGAAGGCUGGAAUCUUGAAGAAGUGCUUUACAGAGGGAACAAAUCCAGGGUAGAAGGGACAUGAGAAAGCCAGUAAGGGCAUCUGAACAUGUUCGUUACAGCUCUCUGCUCUAUCAUGGGAGGCAGUCUGAAACAGAAGGCUGGAGCAGUUAACCCCACAAGGACAGCAAUGAUGUUCUGUAGGGGAAGCCUGAGAGGCUAUGGUGUGGAGGCCGACCAAGCGUGGGAAUCUAAAAUCGGCAGGAAAGGGUGGGGGUCUCUCUGCAGGGCCCACCACUUACCAGUCGGCCUUCCAAGCAGUCGACGGCGGCCCCCCGGGCCAGCAGGUACCGCACGCAGUCCGGGUGUCCCAUGGAGGCAGCCUCGUGCAGAGAGAGCCCGCUUGUAGUCCUGGUGGACGGCUUCGAUGUCCAGGUCCCAGAUAGGCCAAGAUGUCCCAGCGGCUGUGGCGCGUAAAGUGUGCAGGAGGGUAUCUCCGGCAGACCCCGCGCAGCCCGCGCGCCCAGCCGCGUGCAGCUCCUCUCAUCCAGCACCAACCAGCACAGCCGCCGCGGAACCCGGAGCGCGGUCAUGGCCACGGGCUCGAGUCCUGCGGGAACGCUUGGCGACCCUCCCCCGGACCCGCCCCGCGAUCCUCC
This is a long non-coding RNA of Bos taurus (domestic cattle), 933 nucleotides long. The record is from Ensembl. Lineage: Eukaryota; Metazoa; Chordata; Mammalia; Artiodactyla; Bovidae.